UUUUCAGGUGGUUUAAUCUGAACCAAGAUCCAGUCUGAGUACAUUUUGUUAAAUCCCCAACUGAAAAUCUCUGCAACAACUUGGCAAUGGAAUGUGAAGGAGCUGAACAAGGAAGGACCAGAUGACUGACUCAUGGGGUUUGGUUGAAGGAGAUGAGGGCAAGGAGAAAAGGGAUAUGAAGAGGGUUGUAGAGGUUGUGGGAGGAAGGAGAUAGAAAAGGCCUUUGGCAAAGAUAUUUUUCUGCCUACAUUUAUGUUGGCCAUAUGGGGAUGCCAUAAAUAUCUUGAACACUGGAGGAGCUAGGUGUGGCACCAGACAUCAAGAUGGCCCUCAAGAAUUCUAGCCUCCUGGUAUUCAUGUUCUUAUAUAGUCUCCUCCAACACUGAAAAGGGCUGACCUGUGUAACUAAUAGGAUAUUGUGGAAAUGAUGGAGUUUGUCUUCUGAGGCUAGAUCAUGAAAGACAUGUGGUCCUUGGACCACUUAAUCAUGAAGAAGACAGCUGCCAUGUUGUGAGGACUCUCAAGCAGCUCUGUGGAGAGGUCCAUAGGUAAGGAACUGAGAACCCCCUCCAAGUGAGCAAUCUUGGAGGUAUAUCCUUUCCUCUCAGUCAAGCCUUCAGAUGACUACAGCCUGGGCUGGUAUCUUGACUGCAACCUUAUGAGAAACCCUGAGCCAACACCAGCUAAGAUUCUCCUGAAUUCCUCACCCUAAGAAACUGAGAUAAUAAAUCUGUGUUGGUUUAAGCCACGUGUAUUGAGAUAACUAAUUAUGUGGCAAUAGAAAACUAAUACACUAAGAGAUGAAUUAAAUAGAGAAUCCACUCCAAGAUUCCACUGUUCUGUGGAUUAUAUAGAGGUUGAACAUGUUGCUCCAAUCUAAGCUAUUUGUUUAUUCUUUUAAAUUCUGUGUGUCUGCUUGACUGGCCCACAAGACUCUAGGAUUAUCAAGUAUACUACCCUACCCUUCCAUAAUAAAAGGUGUAGGCUGGGUGAGGUGGCUUAUGCUGGUAAUCCCAGUGCUUUGGAAGGCUGAGGUGGGAGGAUCACUUGAGGCCACGAGUUCAAGAUCAGCCUGGGCAACAUAGUGAGGCCAGGAGAUCAAGACCAGCCUGGGUGACGGAGUCAGACUCUGUCUCUAGAAGUAAGCAAAUAGGUAGUUAAAUAAAUAAAUAAAAUAAAGGGUGUGGUGUUUGGGUUACAAUUUUAAAUGCUGAAAUUUAAGAAAUUAAGAAAUAUACAAUGAAAUGAUAUAACUCAUUAACAGUUAUUAUUUGCAUAUAAAAGUAAAUACAGUUGUGAGAGACUGAAUACUAUGAAUAAAAUCACAUGGUGUGCACCUGUCACAGUCAUCAGUUUCACAUGUUCCUGCUGAAAAUAGUUGAACUCUUAGUUCCUCAAUACCAUUGACCUUUUCUUUUUUGAAAAAAAAAAAAAAUAAAUCUAUUUCUACUGUAAUUUGCUAUCACAUAUUGUGUCCUUCCCCUUUUAAAAACAAUGUUAUUUCUGUCUCUUUUUAUAAUAGAAUAUUCUAAAAUCUUCUGUUUGUAUUCUACAUUGCAGCUUCAUUUCAAAUCCAAAUCCUUACAAUUGGCAUUGCUUAGCAAAUUAACAAUGAUAUACUUCGGUAGAUAUCUUGUUAUGCUUUCUAUUGUUUUAUGUAACAAUUUGGCAAUUGCAUAAAUAGACAUGUAUCAAUGAUUCUAAUAAUUGAAAUGGCAUUUCCAGUUCCCCUUUAAGUGGAG
RNAcentral lists this long non-coding RNA (1742 nucleotides) under Homo sapiens (human). Its description in RNAcentral is "HSALNT0091974". Lineage: Eukaryota; Metazoa; Chordata; Mammalia; Primates; Hominidae. The record is from RNAcentral.